UGGGGAAUUUUUGGACAAUGGGCGAAAGCCUGAUCCAGCAAUGCCGCGUGUGUGAAGAAGGCCUUCGGGUUGUAAAGCACUUUUGUCCGGAAAGAAAUCCUUGGCUCUAAUACAGUCGGGGGAUGACGGUACCGGAAGAAUAAGCACCGGCUAACUACGUGCCAGCAGCCGCGGUAAUACGUAGGGUGCAAGCGUUAAUCGGAAUUACUGGGCGUAAAGCGUGCGCAGGCGGUUUGCUAAGACCGAUGUGAAAUCCCCGGGCUCAACCUGGGAACUGCAUUGGUGACUGGCAGGCUAGAGUAUGGCAGAGGGGGGUAGAAUUCCACGUGUAGCAGUGAAAUGCGUAGAGAUGUGGAGGAAUACCGAUGGCGAAGGCAGCCCCCUGGGCCAAUACUGACGCUCAUGCACGAAAGCGUGGGGAGCAAACAGGAUUAGAUACCCUGGUAGUCCACGCCCUAAAACGAUGUCAACUAGUUGUUGGGGAUUCAUUUCCUUAGUAACGUAGCUAACGCGUGAAGUUGACCGCCUGGGGAGUACGGUCGCAAGAUUAAAACUUAAAGGAAUUGAC
This 568-nucleotide ribosomal RNA is filed under the name uncultured bacterium. RNAcentral describes it as "partial 16S ribosomal RNA". It matches the Rfam family "Bacterial small subunit ribosomal RNA", at positions 355 to 914 of the family's 1533-position model. The record is from RNAcentral.